GGAUACAAGCCCUGAGAGGAAAGAUUCUGGAAGAAGAAGAGGAUCUUGGGAUUUGACUGGUUUUAACUGUCACUUUGGAUCUGACUUUCGACUGAGCUGGAAGGAGGAUCUUUGCUCUGGCAUUUCCCUGGAAAUCCUGAUCUUGUGGAAAGAUUUGGAUAUUCCUGGGUGGGAGCUCUGCCUUGGAGGAAACCUGCUUUUCCCUCGGGUAUUGAGAUUCACCUGUAUGACAGCUACCAGCCAAAGACAACUUGGCUAAGCAGAAACACACCAGGUGUCUUCUAUGGACAAGAAGGGGGAAUUUGGCAUGUUUGCCUUUUUUACCUACAUUUCCAAAAAAUGACAAGGAUCAGCCUUUUUUUUUCCCCUCCAGUCCAUGGUAUUGAUUAAGGUAAUAAAUAUAUCUUCUUGAAAUUGAAAUUGAAGU
This 427-nucleotide long non-coding RNA is filed under the name Monodelphis domestica (gray short-tailed opossum). RNAcentral describes it as "lncRNA (ENSMODG00000047292.1)". Lineage: Eukaryota; Metazoa; Chordata; Mammalia; Didelphimorphia; Didelphidae. The record is from RNAcentral.